GCAACGCGACUUUGAAUUCUUUCGAAUCCCUCCAAUUCAUAUGCUUUAGUAUUCAAUUUCAUAGAUUUCGCCGCGACUUCGUCUCUUGGUUCGCCACGAAAUAAUCCUCUCAGGAAUAUUUCUACCGGCUGGUAGCCGUAGUCGGCGUCGUCGUUAUCGCGGUACGGUAACGAUCGUUGGCGUUAAAGUUGCUAGAACGAAAAGGAUAGAGCGAGAGCGAGACAGAACGCUAGAGAUGGAAAGCGAAAGAUGUAUAUAUAGAGAGAGAGAGGGAGGGAGAGAGAAACAGCAGCGAGUCGAGAGUAAGUACGGUCGGUGUAAGUUGAUCGCGUUUGAGGGAAAGAGACAGCUAUAUGCAAUCCAAGAGAAACGGUAUACGAAGGCAAAAGGGAGAGGGAGAAUAGCGCUAACCGUGGCAGAACGAGAAGAGAAAGGGCGCUUUCCUCUCUCGCGUAUAGGUGUGUCUACCAGAGACCUCUUCCGCGAGGGAAUGUUAAUUAAUUAGCGUUGCGGCAUUGAUCACGCCGUUACUUUGCACCGGUGCGCCCUACGCCGACGCCGGCAGCAUCGUUCUCGUCGUCGACACCGGUGCCGCCUUCAUUACCCGAGAGGCAGUGCGGUAAUGGCAGACUAUUCGCCACUACUCUGCGACUCCUCGUCGCAAAACCACUCGUCUUCGAGGACUCUGCUUCCUCUUAUCCCCACUCUUCAUUCUCGUUUCGCUCGUUUCUCGUUGUGCACACCGUGUCGCUUCUAUCGACGUAACUGGUGCGCGCGUACACGUGGUCGUUUGCACCUGUGGUGUAAAACUUGGUGGAUUUUGGGGAACGAGAGCUUGUUAAAAACAGAGAAACUCAAUUGUUGACACUGGAGAUUGAGUGGAUUCUCGGUAUUUCGUGAAAAUCUACAUCUUGUUUUAAGAGCUUCGAUAUAUGGUGUGUAUUGUACGUUUGAGGUUAGGUUAGAUUGAAUUACUUCGGAUUUGAAGAACAAUGGAAAAAAUGAAUAGGCGUGAUUCUAAACUCUCGGAGAUUCGAUUAAAUCUAUUCUACGAUGAAUUUUUCAACCAUCUGUGGAGGUCUGUGUGAAAUUAUGAUUAUCUUUUUCGUCGGGAGAAAGAAUCAGUUUGCUAAAAAUUUCAUGGCAUAUCGAUUAUCUAUACGGAGAAUAGAAUACGGAUUAGUUUUCCGAUUUUAUCCAUCCAGCCUCAGCUUUGCUGCUAUCGGAAAAGAUUUGAAUUUCGAAAUUUGGAAGUAUAAAAUUACAGCACGAUGAAUUAGUCAUGCUACUUUUUUACCGUCAAAAAAGAAUUCGAAACGAAUCUUUAUUGCGAAUCAUUCUUACUCGCUCGUUGAUUUGUUUCAUUUUUCAACACUUAACCUAAACUCGAACCGUCCAAAAUUUCGUGCUCGCGCAAAUAUCAAUCCUUCGCUUCGAACUGAACAUCAUCGAUUUAUGAAGAGAGGUAUACCUAUUUGGAAGAUUGAACGUGGAGCACUGUUACCUUCGAGAAGUAGGAGUUUCUCAACGACUUCACCUUGGCAAUAUCCAAAGCGAAGAGGAGUUAAGGUCAAGAGGGCAUCCUCGGCGGGAAAGAGAAUGAGAUAUUAGUCCUUCGAGUCCCUCGAAAUUACAAACGAGAAAAGGCCGCGUCUAGAAUAGGUCGGGCCGACCAGAAGAAUCGUUUUUUCCCGCGGAGAGAUUUGUGUCGGCCAAGAGUUUGGGACUCGAACCUGCCCACGUCUUAUCCUAUCCGCCUACGCGUAAAACACUCCCCUUCCGUAUCCUUGCACACCAAGCUAUCUACUCUUGGAUGGAGGCUGUUACAGGAGAGUCCUUCCUCAUCAGAGACAGGUCAACGUGGUAUCCAAGAGUGGUAAUACGUAUCUUAAGGAAAGUCAAUAGCUUCCAAGAUCACACUUUUUUCCAAACUUGAUAGAUUCGUUCUUGCAAGCUACGCGCUUUUAUGGCGUAGAAUAAAAAUUCAGAUCUCCUCGAAACUGAGUCUGUUUCUUUUAACGAAGGAAAUAUGUGAUUGAGAGUGAUGAUGAGAGAUUAAUAAAAUUGAAGAUGGUUUUGAUAAUCAGGAUAUGUAAUUAGAAAAUUGUUUAACGAAUUGAUCACGACUUGUAUAUCAUGACUCGAGUUAAGAGAUGGAUUAUUAAGGGAUGCAAGAUUGAAUCGAUGCCAAAAGUGAUAGAAAAGGUUACGUGGUUGAUUUGCAAUGUAGAACAUACGAUGUUUGCGAAACAGUUGCAGGUAAACCGUGAAUUUUUCAAAACGUCCAUGCUUCUUUCCAUACACAAAUACGAAAUUUACAUCGAAAUAGAGAAACUGGAAUAGAAUACGUAUCUUUUGUACAUCAUUGAAGCGAAACUUCAAAAUUUGAAUUCUACAUUUGAAAAUCUUGAAAAAAAAAAACACUCCUAAAAUAAACUUAUUCAUCUCGAAAUUUUGUCAAAAAUGUGAUAUAAAUUAGAAAAUUGUUUAACGAAAUAACAAUUUUUAACAAAUCAAAUUGAUUAUGACUGUAUGCAAGAUUGAAUCGACGCCAAAAGUGAUAAAAAAAUACAUCCAAUUUGAUAUA
Molecule: long non-coding RNA, 2587 nt
Organism: Apis mellifera (honey bee)
Lineage: Eukaryota; Metazoa; Arthropoda; Insecta; Hymenoptera; Apidae
Exons: 3
Source: RefSeq, a predicted model, not a curated record